CACGUAGGGGGCGAGCGUUGUCCGGAUUUAUUGGGUGUAAAGAGCUCGUAGGCGGUUUGUCGCGUCUGCUGUGAAAAUCCAGGGCUUAACCCUGGACCUGCAGUGGGUACGGGCAGACUAGAGUGCGGUAGGGGAGAUCGGAAUUCCUGGUGUAGCGGUGAAAUGCGCAGAUAUCAGGAGGAACACCGGUGGCGAAGGCGGGUCUCUGGGCCGAUACUGACGCUGAGGAGCGAAAGCGUGGGGAGCGAACAGG
This 253-nucleotide ribosomal RNA is filed under the name uncultured bacterium. Its description in RNAcentral is "partial 16S ribosomal RNA". It matches the Rfam family "Bacterial small subunit ribosomal RNA", at positions 524 to 776 of the family's 1533-position model. The record is from RNAcentral.